RNAcentral lists this ribosomal RNA (570 nucleotides) under Bacillus pumilus. RNAcentral's name for it is "bacterial SSU rRNA". The stretch from base 2 to 371 matches the Rfam family "Bacterial small subunit ribosomal RNA", at positions 42 to 397 of the family's 1533-position model. Lineage: Bacteria; Bacillati; Bacillota; Bacilli; Caryophanales; Bacillaceae. The record is from RNAcentral.
UGCGNGUGCUAUCAUGCAGUCGAGCGGACAGAAGGGAGCUUGCUCCCGGAUGUUAGCGGCGGACGGGUGAGUAACACGUGGGUAACCUGCCUGUAAGACUGGGAUAACUCCGGGAAACCGGAGCUAAUACCGGAUAGUUCCUUGAACCGCAUGGUUCAAGGAUGAAAGACGGUUUCGGCUGUCACUUACAGAUGGACCCGCGGCGCAUUAGCUAGUUGGUGAGGUAACGGCUCACCAAGGCGACGAUGCGUAGCCGACCUGAGAGGGUGAUCGGCCACACUGGGACUGAGACACGGCCCAGACUCCUACGGGAGGCAGCAGUAGGGGAAUCUUCCGCAAAUGGGACGAAAAGUCUGGACGGNAGCCAACGCCGCGUGGAGUUGAAUGAAGGGUUUUCGGGAUCGNUAAAGCCUCUGGUUGGUUAGGGGAAGAAACCAAGGUGCCAAGAAGUUAAACUGGCCUUGCCACCCCUUGGACCGGGUACCCUUAAACCCAAGAAAAAGCCCACGGGCNUNAACUUACGGUGGCCCAAGCCAGCCCGGCGGGGUUAAAUUACCGUUAAGGUGGGCC